Molecule: ribosomal RNA, 253 nt
Filed under: uncultured bacterium
Lineage: Bacteria
Description: partial 16S ribosomal RNA
Rfam family: Bacterial small subunit ribosomal RNA
Source: RNAcentral
UACAGAGGUCCCAAGCGUUGUUCGGAUUCAUUGGGCGUAAAGGGUGCGUAGGUGGCGUCGUAAGUCGGGUGUGAAAUUUCGGAGCUUAACUCCGAAACUGCAUUCGAUACUGCGGUGCUUGAGGACUGGAGAGGAGACUGGAAUUUACGGUGUAGCGGUGAAAUGCGUAGAGAUCGUGAGGAAGACCAGUGGCGAAGGCGGGUCUCUGGACAGUUCCUGCCGCUGAGGCGCGAAUGCUUGGGGAGCAUUCGGG